RNAcentral lists this ribosomal RNA (549 nucleotides) under Salmonella enterica. RNAcentral's name for it is "partial 23S ribosomal RNA". The record is from RNAcentral. Lineage: Bacteria; Pseudomonadati; Pseudomonadota; Gammaproteobacteria; Enterobacterales; Enterobacteriaceae.
GUUAUCACGGGAGACACACGGCGGGUGCUAACGUCCGUCGUGAAGAGGGAAACAACCCAGACCGCCAGCUAAGGUCCCAAAGUCAUGGUUAAGUGGGAAACGAUGUGGGAAGGCCCAGACAGCCAGGAUGUUGGCUUAGAAGCAGCCAUCAUUUAAAGAAAGCGUAAUAGCUCACUGGUCGAGUCGGCCUGCGCGGAAGAUGUAACGGGGCUAAACCAUGCACCGAAGCUGCGGCAGCGAACGUAUCACUUAAAGCGAUUCAGCGGRUKACGAUUGACGGAGCGAAGCGACGUCAAAGCGUAUACAAAGUCGAGUCGGUUUAAGGAUACGUUCGUUGGGUAGGGGAGCGUUCUGUAAGCCUGYGAAGGUGKSYYGUGAGGSWUGCUGGAGGUAUCAGAAGUGCGAAUGCUGACAUAAGUAACGAUAAAGCGGGUGAAAAGCCCGCUCGCCGGAAGACCAAGGGUUCCUGUCCAACGUUAAUCGGGGCAGGGUGAGUCGACCCCUAAGGCGAGGCCGAAAGGCGUAGUCGAUGGGAAACGGGUUAAUAUU